GCCAGAGGUGGUGUUGUAUACCUGUAAUCUCUGCUACUAGGGGACACUGAGGCUGAAAGAGCAUUGGAGUUUGGGAGUUCUGAGCUUCAGGAGGGCUAGAGUCAAUCAGGUGUGUCCACACUAAGUCUAGCACCAAUAGGGCAAGCCCUUGGGAGCAAGGGCCACCAGGCUGCACAAGGAGGGAGUAAAGUAGCUCAGGUUGGAAACUGAGUAGGUCAAAGCUUCCAUGCCAAUCAGCACUGGGAUCCUAACCAUGAUUGGCCAUCAUACUUCCAGUCUGGAUGAGAUAAGGAGAU
This 296-nucleotide signal recognition particle RNA is filed under the name Phascolarctos cinereus (koala). RNAcentral's name for it is "Metazoan signal recognition particle RNA (ENSPCIG00000008955.2)". It matches the Rfam family "Metazoan signal recognition particle RNA". Rfam says of the family: The signal recognition particle (SRP) is a universally conserved ribonucleoprotein. It is involved in the co-translational targeting of proteins to membranes. The eukaryotic SRP consists of a 300-nucleotide 7S RNA and six proteins: SRPs 72, 68, 54, 19, 14, and 9. The record is from Rfam by way of RNAcentral. Lineage: Eukaryota; Metazoa; Chordata; Mammalia; Diprotodontia; Phascolarctidae.